RNAcentral lists this non-coding RNA (145 nucleotides) under Rhizobium sp. Its description in RNAcentral is "FMN sequence". It matches the Rfam family "FMN riboswitch aptamer (RFN element)". From Rfam's summary of the family: The RFN element is a highly conserved domain that is found frequently in the 5'-untranslated regions of prokaryotic mRNAs that encode for flavin mononucleotide (FMN) biosynthesis and transport proteins. The record is from RNAcentral. Lineage: Bacteria; Pseudomonadati; Pseudomonadota; Alphaproteobacteria; Hyphomicrobiales; Rhizobiaceae.
ACACGUUCUCAGGGCGGGGUGCAAUUCCCCACCGGCGGUAUGGGGGUCUUCCCCGAGCCCGCGAGCGCCUUCCGGUUUCGGAAGGGUCAGCAGAUCCGGUGAGAGGCCGGAGCCGACGGUAUAGUCCGGAUGGAAGAGGGCAAGC